AUUGAACGCUGGCGGCAUGCUUUACACAUGCAAGUCGAACGGUAACAGGCCGCAAGGUGCUGACGAGUGGCGAACGGGUGAGUAAUGCAUCGGAACGUGCCCAGUCGUGGGGGAUAACUACUCGAAAGAGUAGCUAAUACCGCAUACGAUCUAUGGAUGAAAGCGGGGGACCGUAAGGCCUCGCGCGAUUGGAGCGGCCGAUGUCAGAUUAGGUAGUUGGUGGGGUAAAGGCUCACCAAGCCAACGAUCUGUAGCUGGUCUGAGAGGACGACCAGCCACACUGGGACUGAGACACGGCCCAGACUCCUACGGGAGGCAGCAGUGGGGAAUUUUGGACAAUGGGCGCAAGCCUGAUCCAGAAAUGCCGCGUGCAGGAAGAAGGCCUUCGGGUUGUAAACUGCUUUUGUACGGAACGAAACGGCUCUGGUUAAUACCCGGGGCUAAUGACGGUACCGUAAGAAUAAGCACCGGCUAACUACGUG
Molecule: ribosomal RNA, 482 nt
Filed under: uncultured bacterium
Lineage: Bacteria
Description: partial 16S ribosomal RNA
Rfam family: Bacterial small subunit ribosomal RNA
Source: RNAcentral